AAUGUAUGUUGAAUGAAUAAUUGAAUUAAUAGUGAAUAUAUGGGGGACUAUGGCUCUAUGAAGUAAGUAGGUAAUAAUAUUUAUAUAAGAUUAAAAGCGAUUAAUGAGCUUCCCAAGAUCAUACCAUAGUAAUUUGAGGGCUACAACUCAAAUCCAUAUUUUUUAGCUUAAUGCUUCCCCCACCCAGUGUGGCCUUCCAAAUUUAAAAUGCCAACAUUAAAAAUAGUGUAUAAAAGAACAAUAAAACACACUUAUUCCAAUUAUUGAGUCUUUUUAAAUAGGUGGAUAAACUAAUCUGAUUCUUUCAACAUAUUUAAUUGAAUCUGUUUCCUGAUGCUCCUACUUUGUCUCAUUUAUGAAAUAUUUCAUUAAAAUCCAGUAAAGGCACUAUAUAGUUGUGUUAGUAAAGUCUUGACAUGAAUAUUAUCCAAAUCCAAGCAGUUAUAAACAUUUGCAAAUUCUUUCUUUCAAAGUAAUCUCAUAAUUUCUUUUCUCCCAUUUUCCAUCCCAGUGGUAAUGAAAAUAGCACGGACAUUGGACCGGAGCCUUUGGCCUGUAUUGGCUUACUGGUUAUAUGACCUUAUCCCAAGUCAUCUUGCCUGUAUGCCUUAGUUUGCUUACCUACAAAAUGAGAAGAAUGAUACCUAUUUCAUAGCAUUACUGUGAAGAUCAAGUGAGAUAGAAUAUGCCCAAUGCCUGGUACAUAUUAGAAUGCAGUGAGAUCAAUUUGAAGAUCAUGUCUUCCAAAGCAGCCUGAAGUUUCUUCAAGGCAAAGAUGACAUGUCAUUCAUCUUUUCUACAGUCUCUCACACGGAGCAAGCCAGCACACAGAAAGGAUGUGCCCUCAUCUGCUCCCCUGUGCUGAAAGUUUUCCAAGGAGUGUGAGUCUCCAGAUAGGCCUGCAGCAUUCCAGUGGGUUUCUGUAUUGGGAGGCCCACUUAUGUGCAGAUUUAAGCAGUUUCUUCAUUAUUAACUUCAACUAUAAUAAAAUAAUAGUUCUAUCCUCAACUGCCUUAUAUCAUUGUCCUAUUUCUCAGUUGAUUCAGAUACAAUACUAUUUUUGGGCUCUCUCAAACAAUGAAGGGAUAACCAAUGUUCAUUUUCUAAAAUUCCUGUCUUUAAAAACAGGACUUGGGAUCCCUGGGUGGCUCGGCAGUUUAGCGUCUGCCUUUGGCUCAGGACAUGGUCCUGGAGUCCCGGGAUCGAGUCCC
Long non-coding RNA from Canis lupus familiaris (dog), 1211 nucleotides. RefSeq lists it as uncharacterized. The record is from RefSeq and is a predicted model, not a curated record. NCBI's taxonomy places the organism in Eukaryota, Metazoa, Chordata, Mammalia, Carnivora, Canidae. The transcript is spliced from 3 exons.